Molecule: ribosomal RNA, 900 nt
Filed under: Tolypocladium cylindrosporum
Lineage: Eukaryota; Fungi; Ascomycota; Sordariomycetes; Hypocreales; Ophiocordycipitaceae
Description: LSU rRNA
Rfam family: Eukaryotic large subunit ribosomal RNA
Source: RNAcentral
GCAUAUCAAUAAGCGGAGGAAAAGAAACCAAACAGGGGAUUGCCCCCAGUAACGGCGAGUGAAGCGGCAACAGCUCAAAUUUGAAAUCUGGCCCCCAGGGCCCGAGUUGUUAAUUUGCAGAGGAUGCUUUUGGCGCGGCGCCUUCCGAGUUCCCUGGAACGGGACGCCAUAGAGGGUGAGAGCCCCGUCUGGUCGGACGCCAAGCCAGUGUAAAGCUCCUUCGACGAGUCGAGUAGUUUGGGAAUGCUGCUCUAAAUGGGAGGUAUAUGUCUUCUAAAGCUAAAUAUAGGCCAGAGACCGAUAGCGCACAAGUAGAGUGAUCGAAAGAUGAAAAGCACUUUGAAAAGAGGGUUAAACAGUACGUGAAAUUGUUGAAAGGGAAGCACUUGUGACCAGACUUGGGCCCGGUGAAUCAUCCAGCGUUCUCGCUGGUGCACUUCGCCGGGCUCAGGCCAGCAUCAGUUCGCCGCGGGGGACAAAAGCUUCGGGAACGUGGCUCCCUCGGGAGUGUUAUAGCCCGUUGCACAAUACCCUGCGGUGGACUGAGGUUCGCGCUCCGCAAGGAUGCUGGCGUAAUGGUCACCAGUGACCCGUCUUGAAACACGGACCAAGGAGUCGUCUUCGUAUGCGAGUGUUCGGGUGUCAAACCCCUACGCGUAAUGAAAGUGAACGCAGGUGAGAGCUUCGGCGCAUCAUCGACCGAUCCUGAUGUUCUCGGAUGGAUUUGAGUAAGAGCAUACGGGGCCGGACCCGAAAGAAGGUGAACUAUGCCUGUAUAGGGUGAAGCCAGAGGAAACUCUGGUGGAGGCUCGCAGCGGUUCUGACGUGCAAAUCGAUCGUCAAAUAUGGGCAUGGGGGGCGAAAGACUAAUCGAACCUUCUAGUAGCUGGUUUCCGCCGA